RNAcentral lists this transfer RNA (75 nucleotides) under Pseudaminobacter soli (ex Zhang et al. 2022). Its description in RNAcentral is "tRNA-Gly". It matches the Rfam family "tRNA". Rfam says of the family: Transfer RNA (tRNA) molecules are approximately 80 nucleotides in length. Their secondary structure includes four short double-helical elements and three loops (D, anti-codon, and T loops). Lineage: Bacteria; Pseudomonadati; Pseudomonadota; Alphaproteobacteria; Hyphomicrobiales; Phyllobacteriaceae. The record is from RNAcentral.
GCAGGUAUAGCUCAGUUGGUAGAGCACUAGGUUGCCAGCCUAGAGGCGCGAGUUCGACCCUCGCUACCCGCUCCA